This 1408-nucleotide ribosomal RNA is filed under the name uncultured bacterium. RNAcentral's name for it is "partial 16S ribosomal RNA". It matches the Rfam family "Bacterial small subunit ribosomal RNA". The record is from RNAcentral.
GGCGGCGUGGAUAGGCAUGCAGUCGAACGAGAAGGUCCCUUCGGGGGCUGAGUAGAGUGGCGAACGGGACAGUAACACGUGGGAAACCUGCCCUGCAGUGGGGGAUAACACUUCCAACGAGGUGCUAAUACCGCAUACGACCGCCGGUCGCAUGGCCGGCUGGUGAAAGGUGGCCUCUGCUUGCAAGCUGCCGCUGCUGGAUGGUCCCGCGCCCGAUUAGCUUGUUGGCGGGGUAACGGCCCACCAAGGCUACGAUCGGUAGGCGACCUGAGAGGGUGACCGCCGUCACUGGGACUGAGAUACGGCCCAGACUCCUACGGGAGGCAGCAGUCGAGAAGCUUCGGCAAUGGGCGAAAGCCUGACCGAGCGACGCCGCGUGAGCGAUGAAGGCCCUAGUGGUCGUAAAGCUCUGUCAGAUUGGGAACAAAUCCCGGGGGCGAACAACCCCCGGUGCUGAGGGUACCGUCAGAGGAAGCACCGGCUAACUCCGUGCCAGCAGCCGCGGUAAUACGGAGGGUGCGAGCGUUGCUCGGAUUCACUGGGUAUAAAGAGUUCGUAGGCGGCCCCGUAAGUCAGAGGUGAAAGCUGUCGGCUCAACCGACAAAUUGCCUUUGAAACUGCAGGGCUUGAGUCCGGGAGAGGAAGGUGGAAUUCCUGGUGUAGCGGUGAAAUGCGUAAAUAUCAGGAGGAACACCGGUGGCGAAGGCGGCCUUCUGGCCCGGCACUGACGCUGAGGAACGAAAGCCAGGGGAGCGAACAGGAUUAGAUACCCCGGUAGUCCUGGCCGUAAACUAUGGGCACUAGGUGUUGGAGGAGUCUACCCCUUCAGUGCCGCAGCUAAUGCAUUAAGUGCCCCACCUGGGGAGUACGGCCGCAAGGCUGAAACUCAAAGGAAUUGACGGGGGCCCGCACAAGCGGUGGAGCAUGUGGUUUAAUUCGAUGCAACGCGAAGAACCUUACCGGGACUUGACAUGCAAGGGACAGGUGUGGAAACACACCCUCCCGAAAGGGUCCUUGUACAGGUGCUGCAUGGCUGUCGUCAGCUCGUGUCGUGAAAUGUUGGGUUAAGUCCCGCAACGAGCGCAACCCCUGCCCUUAGUUGCCAUCAGGUCAUGCUGGGAACUCUAGGGGGACUGCCGGUGACAAACCGGAGGAAGGUGGGGACGACGUCAAGUCAUCAUGGCCCUUACGUCCCGGGCUACACACGUGCUACAAUGGCCGGUAUAAAGGGCUGCGAUACCGCGAGGUGGAGCAAAUCCCAAAAAGCCGGUCUCAGUUCGGAUUGAAGUCUGCAACUCGACUUCAUGAAGCCGGAAUCGCUAGAAUCGCGCAUCAGCACGGCGCGAGGCGGCCCCGUAAGUCAGAAGUGAAAGCUGUCGGCUCAACCGACAAAUUGCCUUUGAAACUG